AUCGAACGCUGGCGGCAGGCCUAACACAUGCAAGUCGAACGAGUGGCGGACGGGUGAGUAAUGUCUGGGAAACUGCCCGAUGGAGGGCGAUAACUACUGGAAACGGUAGCUAAUACCGCAUACCAUCGGAUUUGCCUCGCUGGGAUUAGCUGGUAGGGGGGGUAACGGCUCACCCAGGCGACGAUCCCUAGCUGGUCGGAGAGGAGGACCAGCCACACUGGAACUGAGACACGGCCCAGACUCCUACGGGAGGCAGCAGUGGGGAAUAUUGCGCAAUGGGCGCAAGCCUGAUGCAGCCAUGCCGCGUGUGUGAAGAAGGCCUUCGGGUUGUAAAGUACUUUCAGCGAGGAGGCGGUACUCGCAGAAGAAGCACCGGCUAACUCCGUGCCAGCAGCCGCGGUAAUAC
RNAcentral lists this ribosomal RNA (406 nucleotides) under uncultured bacterium. RNAcentral's name for it is "partial 16S ribosomal RNA". It matches the Rfam family "Bacterial small subunit ribosomal RNA", at positions 29 to 526 of the family's 1533-position model. The record is from RNAcentral.